AGUGAACGCUGGCGGUAGGCCUAACACAUGCAAGUCGAACGGCAGCACAGUAAGAGCUUGCUCUUACGGGUGGCGAGUGGCGGACGGGUGAGGAAUACAUCGGAAUCUACUUUUUCGUGGGGGAUAACGUAGGGAAACUUACGCUAAUACCGCAUACGACCUACGGGUGAAAGCAGGGGAUCUUCGGACCUUGCGCGAUUGAAUGAGCCGAUGUGGGAUUAGCUAGUUGGCGGGGUAAAGGCCAACCAAGGCGACGAUCCGUAGCUGGUCUGAGAGGAUGAUAAGCGACACUGGAACUGAGACACGGUCCAGACUCCUACGGGAGGCAGCAGUGGGGAAUAUUGGACAAUGGGCGCAAGCCUGAUCCAGCCAUACCGCGUGGGUGAAGUAGGCCUUCGGGUUGUAAAGCCCUUUUGUUGGGAAAGAAAAGCAGCAGGUUAAUACCCCGCUGUUCUGACGGUACCCAAAGAAUAAGCACCGGCUAACUUCGUG
Molecule: ribosomal RNA, 492 nt
Filed under: uncultured bacterium
Lineage: Bacteria
Description: partial 16S ribosomal RNA
Rfam family: Bacterial small subunit ribosomal RNA
Source: RNAcentral